RNAcentral lists this small RNA (200 nucleotides) under Synechococcus sp. KORDI-100. Its description in RNAcentral is "Cyano-2 RNA". It matches the Rfam family "Cyano-2 RNA". The record is from Rfam by way of RNAcentral. Lineage: Bacteria; Bacillati; Cyanobacteriota; Cyanophyceae; Synechococcales; Synechococcaceae.
GACGGCUUCGGGAGAGCGACCCGAUGGCUGGCAGAACCCCUGUCUCCUGCGUGAGCGAUCGCGGGAGACAGUGUUCUGUGACAACAAAUCAGUAGAAAUUUGGUGUGUUUGGCGAGGAUUUCUGUAUCGCGGCAAACGUGCAACUACAGGGCCGCAUCGCUCGGGAAGAACAGCGUUCUUCUCGCGGUCCUGUAGCCCCC